This is a long non-coding RNA of Colius striatus (speckled mousebird), 4577 nucleotides long. RefSeq lists it as uncharacterized. The record is from RefSeq and is a predicted model, not a curated record. NCBI's taxonomy places the organism in Eukaryota, Metazoa, Chordata, Aves, Coliiformes, Coliidae. The transcript is spliced from 3 exons.
AUCCAAACCAAGAGGCGAUCUAGUUUUUCCAUUUAGGACAUCAUUCUUCCUCCCUCCUUGGUGUACACAGCAUUUAGGCCAAAUGCUGGCCUUGAUGAAAUUAGUUUUUUGACCUGUUGCACAGAUAAAGAAGCCUGAAAGGCAAGUCACCUGUCUGAAGUCCUAGAGGAGGUGGCCACCUUGAAAGCCAGUCCUUUAGCAUUCUCCUUUUCUGUUGCUGUAGCAAUUAACUCAGCUUACAGAUGGACCUGUGGGUGCUGUGUUGAUCAGUGUUGCUGUCAUGAGAACCCUAACAAGGAGGAGAACUACAGUGCCACAUGCAGGGGACUUUCACAGAACAGAGAACUGCACUCCCUCAAGGAGAGGGAAAUCCAAAGACCCUAAUUGACAUCAGCAGGGACACAAGCUCAGAAGUUGCUGGCCUCUAGUCACACAUCUCUGUAUUCCUACCAAGAGAAACCCUGGUACAGAAACUGUUGAGGUUCAGAAGAAUAUAGGCCUUCCAAGAACAGCUUGGCUGUCAAAGCUUAUCCUGUCUCUCUAGAUGAAGCAAGCACUGUUUAAAUCCUGCAGUGAAGCGACCAGAAAUCUUUGUGUUCAAUAUUCCCUGUCCGAGUGUGGGAUCCAACUGGUCUCCUCAUGCAAAGAAGGGACUAACAGAUAUCCCUGACUGUGAAACAUGCUGUAGCUGAGCAGCAAGGACAGACCUAUCAGUGACCUACAGGAACCUCCAUUCUUGCCUGAGCAGGACAGUGCUUCUACUCUGCUCCCUUCUUCUGGCUGCUGCUACGCUCUGGAGAAGCUGAGUGAGAGAAGGACCAGAGCAGGACACCAGGCAUGUGCUUACAGAGCUGGAAGGGGAAGGAAAUCCUGGCCAUGCUCUGAUGCUGGCUGUAGGGUGGGAAGAGAACUGAAGCUUUAGUAGCACUCAGUGCAUUUGUCUGGGGAGUCUUGUACCAACAGGGAACUGUCCCGGAGACUCCCCAUACUUACAUGCAAAAAAUGAAAGAAAACAUGUCCGCUGCUCCAAGUGUCACCAGCACAGAUUUUUAGACUGCUUUUAGUGCUUUCUGACAGAGGAGGGAGCUGUCAGCUCACUAUUGAACUGCUCGGCAAGCAGAGGUGCCCUCCUGAGAGCUCAUUAAGCUGUCUGGGUGACCAACUAGAGGAAAAUAUUAAGCCUGACUUGUAUGAGAUGAACACUAACCUGAAAGUUCUUAAUUAUUUUUCUUUAAGUGCAUGUAUGGGGUGUUUUGUCCCUGUACAAUGAAACUACAGUAACUAGUCUGCAGGGACAGGAAGAGCAGCAGGCCUGAGAAGCUUCUUCAAAGGUGAACCAUUUGGCAGUGAUGUCUUGCACUUUUUGUUGCUGUAGAAAUGCCCUCCUCUGCUGCACAGAGAGCCUCCAGAAAACUGCAGCCUGUGCAACACCUUCCUGCUAAUGGCUAGAGACAGAGCACCCUCCUCUGCAUCUGAGCAAUGCAAGCAGCCCUUUUAUCUGGGCUACCUGCCAGGCAGUGGAAAGAGGCAAGGAAAAGCUAGGUUAAACUGAUCUGACUCACUGAAGCCAACGUGGACUGGUCUGAAGUGGAAUAACAACCUGAUCCCAUCUGCUGUUUGUCCUGGUGCAACUCACCAGUAGUCUUCCUGCUGCAGCCAGUAGCAGUGUGACAAAGUAUGACUUAAUUACAACCCUGCAAUAAAAGGAACUUCUUCAUUACAUGUUCUGUAUAGCUGCAUCAAGUCAUCUUCUGUCCAGCUGCUCAUGGCAGAGCUCCAAGUGGCUGCUGAAUCGUGCUGGUUUGGCAGGUUGGAGGGUUGCUAUAAGGUCUCCCUGGAGCCUUGAGCCUCCCGGCUGAACAACUCCAACUCUCUCAGCUUAUCUUCGUAAGAGAGGAGCUCCAGCCUUCUGAUCACCUUUGUGGCCCUCCUUUGGACUUGUUCCAACAGUUCUAUGUCCUUCUUUUGUUGUGGACCCCAGAGUUGAACACAGCACUGCAGGUGGGUUCUCACGAGAGCAGAGUGGCAGAAUCACCUCCUUUAACCUGCUGGCCACACUUCUGAUGCGCCCAGAGUACAGUUGGCCUGCGGUUACCCCAAGUCCUCCUCAGGGCUGCUCUCAAUGCAUUCAUUGCCCAGCCUAUAUUUGUGCUUGAGUUUGUCCCAACCCAUGUGCAGGACAUUGCACUUGACCUUGUUGAAGUUCAUGAAGUUUGCCUGGGCCCACCCGCAAGCCUGUCAAGGUCCCUCUGGCUGGCAUCCCUUCCUUCCAGUGCAUCAACUGCAUGCUGAAUGAGUAAGAAUGAAUCCUGAGUGAUUAAGAAAUUUGUUUUCUGGUUUUGAAGCUAGCAAUUAAGGUUGGGACAAAUGUUGAUGUUUGUUCCUUCUGCAAUCACUCUUGUAAAACUACAGGAGAACCAUUGUCAUGAAAGCUCUGUUGGUAUCGUUACCUCUGGGCUACUUUGCUUUGCAGAAUGUCAACUCCUCUCUGGUUAGAGUGCAGUUGUGUAAAGCUCUUAAAAUCCUGUUGGAAGUCCCUGAAGCCUGUUGGGGAGCCCUCAUUAAAAAUGCUGGAUGACAGUCUAAAGUGUCACUCACUGUAGAGAAUGAACUUGUUGACAAGACCACAUGAAAACAUUUUUUGUAAGCACAGUUUGCAAACCCAGAGUGACAGAGCACAGUGUUUUCCUGCUUUCCUUCUUGUUUCUAUCUGGAUGCAAAAUGGAAGAACACUCUGGGUAAAAUAUCUCAUGUUUUCUGCAAGAAAGAUGUGUAUUGCCCUGUUCUUCAUGUGUGUGUGAUAGACUGCACAGGAGAUACAAACAGUCCCAGUGCAGGUAAAGGGAGAUACUCCCCUUGAGAUAGAACACAAACAUCUGUGAGAAGCAUCACUACUGAUUUGAGGAGAAAAGAAUGUGGCUACAGAGAAGAAAUCCCCACUGGCCCCUGCCUGGCAUCACCAGAGGAAUUUGACCAGACUUGUUUGGUCAUGAGUCAAAGUUGAGCAGCUUAGUUCUAAAUGACUGGAGCUAUAAACAGCUGAAAAUGAUUUUCAGAGGAGUUCAGAGAUGAAUAAUGCAUCCCCUCAGAUUCCUGAGUGAUCUUUUAUUCACAGAAAAUCAAAGCGAUGUACAAAUGCAAUUGGUGGCCUUGGGGAGGGGAGUCUGAAUCACUGCUUAUCAUUCACAGUCGCUAUCAGAAGUGAUGUGACAUCUGAAAGGAAGAGAUGAAAGCUCCAUCACCAUUUGUUAAAGAAAAAACACUUUAGAAUCCAGCUAAAUAGCUGAUAAUCAGAGGUGCAGAAUUCUAAUCUGCUGUUCAGUGCAGAAAGAAGAGCUCAUAGGCAAAAACCUACAAAAGUUUUUCUUCUGUAGCUUCAUGAAGGUCUGCUUGUAGUACCCCUGGAAAUUCCCCGUGACAGAAAUCAGGACUGAGACAAAGACAUUGGCAAACUACCUAGAGUCAGGAGGUAGGGAAGGUUACCUGACUACCUGAAAAGUUCGUUCUGUAGCUUAACAACUCUGCAUUUCAUUACAGGACCAGGAACAUAGUUUGUUAUUUAGCAUUUGUGACCUAAAUGCACAGUUAACUGUAAGACUAAUUUGCAUACUCCUUCACACUUUUAAGUUUAUCUGAAAAGAUGUAAAUGCUUUUCUUACUCUGCAACACUAUGAAUUUUGAAUUCCUGUCACAAGAAAGAAACAUAGAAGAAUGCAGUGGGAAAUGAAUUUAAAUCUGAGGGCAAAACAACAGACAAGUAAUGAAUCCCUGAGUGUAUCUUCUCUUUUGCAUUAGCAGGGGCACCAAAGGUGAAGGGCUGAAGUGCCACGAGGCUCCUUGUGCCAUUUGCUUUUCACACACGUGGCUCUCACAGGAUACCAAAAAGUGUGUGUUUGCACAUGUGAGCCCUUCCUAGUCUCCUGCCAAGGGUUUCCCAUCAACAGCAGUUUCACUGCAACACAUGGUUAUGGUUUUAGAAAAUGAUAUCGUUUGGUACAAGAAGCUCCACCUUGGCAAAUAAGUUUGUGGUGGUGAUGGUGGGGGGUGAUGAGAAAGUGGAAGCUGUUAUGCAGAGGUGUAAAUCUCUGCUGUCCUGUGUAGCCUUUGGGGAUUGCUUCCAGAGAACCUCCUGCUCUCAGCACCUUAACCCUGACAGUGACACUAACCCUGCACUUCAAGCCAACAGCUGAACCCUUCCUACCCUCAGCCUGACUACCUAACCCCCUGCUGAGCCCUACCAGUGCAGUCCCUGCCCUCUGCAGUAUCUUUCCUCUAGAGAGCACUUUUCCAGUGUAUGUAUGGGGUGGAUUGGGCAGGUGGUAAAAUUAGGGAAGGUUUCUGAGCAGGUCCCAGCAGCACAGCUGGGUGGCAGGGUGGAGAGAGGAAACCCCACCAGUGGGGUGGACACACAGACCUUGGAAUGUGGUAACUGCCUCAUGGGGCAUACAUGGGAUAGACUGCAUGUCACAGUGUGUGGGGGUGUGGGAUCAUUGCUCUGCUUGGGCAUGCAUCUUGCUCUGAGGAACGUAGCUUUGGGCUUCCUUGAGAAAUGGCCUCUGGCUCUGCAGGCAGCAUCC